Molecule: small nucleolar RNA, 132 nt
Organism: Poecile atricapillus (Black-capped chickadee)
Lineage: Eukaryota; Metazoa; Chordata; Aves; Passeriformes; Paridae
Product: small nucleolar RNA SNORA5
Exons: 1
Source: RefSeq, a predicted model, not a curated record
UGCAGCCCAGUCAAAUUCGGUCCCUGUCCCUCAGUGUCGGGGACCGGCCACCGGCUGCCACAGUGACCCCGUGCUCGGCGUGUCCCGUGUCCCCUCCCGUGGGACCCGGGGGCCAGAUCCCCACGGACACGU